AGUGAACGCUGGCGGUAGGCCUAACACAUGCAAGUCGAACGGCAGCACAGUAAGAGCUUGCUCUUACGGGUGGCGAGUGGCGGACGGGUGAGGAAUACAUCGGAAUCUACUUUUUCGUGGGGGAUAACGUAGGGAAACUUACGCUAAUACCGCAUACGACCUACGGGUGAAAGCAGGGGAUCUUCGGACCUUGCGCGAUUGAAUGAGCCGAUGUCGGAUUAGCUAGUUGGCGAGGUAAAGGCCCACCAAGGCGACGAUCCGUAGCUGGUCUGAGAGGAUGAUCGGCCACACUGGAACUGAGACACGGUCCAGACUCCUACGGGAGGCAGCAGUAGGGAAUAUUGCGCAAUGGGCGAAAGCCUGACGCAGCCAUACCGCGUGAGUGAUGAAGGCCUUCGGAUUGUAAAGCUCUUUUGUUAGGAAAGAAAAGCAGCGGAAGUAAACAUGGCUGUUCUGACGGUACCUAAAGAGUAAGCACCGGCUAACUACGUG
RNAcentral lists this ribosomal RNA (492 nucleotides) under uncultured bacterium. RNAcentral's name for it is "partial 16S ribosomal RNA". It matches the Rfam family "Bacterial small subunit ribosomal RNA", at positions 29 to 507 of the family's 1533-position model. The record is from RNAcentral.